This 335-nucleotide unclassified non-coding RNA is filed under the name soil metagenome. Its description in RNAcentral is "partial contains 5.8S ribosomal RNA, internal transcribed spacer 2, and large subunit ribosomal RNA". The stretch from base 1 to 120 matches the Rfam family "5.8S ribosomal RNA", at positions 35 to 154 of the family's 154-position model. The record is from RNAcentral.
GAUGAAGAACGCAGCGAAAUGCGAUAAGUAAUGUGAAUUGCAGAAUUCAGUGAAUCAUCGAAUCUUUGAACGCACAUUGCGCCCAUUAGCAUUCUAGUGGGCAUGCCUGUUCGAGCGUCAUUUCAACCCUUAAGCCCUGUUGCUUAGCGUUGGGAGCCUACAGUACUGUAGCUCCCCAAAGUUAGUGGCGGAGUCGGUUUCACACUCUAGACGUAGUAAUUUUUUCUCGUCUGUAGUUGAGCCGGUCCCCUGCCGUAAAACACCCACUUUAUCAAGGUUGACCUCGGAUCAGGUAGGAAUACCCGCUGAACUUAAGCAUAUCAAUAAGCGGAGGA